RNAcentral lists this ribosomal RNA (430 nucleotides) under uncultured Acidobacteriota bacterium. RNAcentral describes it as "bacterial SSU rRNA". It matches the Rfam family "Bacterial small subunit ribosomal RNA", at positions 1 to 452 of the family's 1533-position model. The record is from RNAcentral. Lineage: Bacteria; Pseudomonadati; Acidobacteriota.
UAGAGUUUGAUCCUGGCUCAGAAUCAACGCUGGCGGCGUGCCUAACACAUGCAAGUCGUACGAGAAAGUGGAGCAAUCCAUGAGUAAAGUGGCGACCGGGUGAGUAACACGUGACUACCUACCUUCUAGUGGGGGAUAACUCCGGGAAACCGGAGCUAAUACCGCAUAACAUCGCAAGAUCAAAGCAGCAAUGCGCUGGAAGAGGGGGUCGCGGCUGAUUAGCUUGUUGGCGGGGUAAUGGCCCACCAAGGCAAAGAUCGGUAUCCGGCCUGAGAGGGCGCACGGACACACUGGAACUGAAACACGGUCCAGACUCCUACGGGAGGCAGCAGUGGGGAAUUUUGGACAAUGGGCGCAAGCCUGAUCCAGCCAUGCCGCGUGCGGGAAGAAGGCCUUCGGGUUGUAAACCGCUUUUGUCAGGGAAGAAAUC